Molecule: ribosomal RNA, 219 nt
Filed under: uncultured amoeba
Lineage: Eukaryota
Description: partial 18S ribosomal RNA
Rfam family: Eukaryotic small subunit ribosomal RNA
Source: RNAcentral
GCUUAAAAAGGAUGUUUCAUGGGGAAGAAGAAAGUAGGGGGAUAGAAGACGAUCAGAUACCGUSGUAGUCUCUACCGUAAACUAUGCCKUCCAUGGAUCAAGAGAGUUUGCAUGGAUGACUCCCCGGGCACCCUCUUUUUCAUAAGUGUUUGGGUUUUGGGGGGAGUAUGUCGCAAGGCUGAAACUWAAGAAUGACGAAGGCCGCAGCUUGUUGCUAUA